Non-coding RNA from Paramisgurnus dabryanus, 1021 nucleotides. NCBI's taxonomy places the organism in Eukaryota, Metazoa, Chordata, Actinopteri, Cypriniformes, Cobitidae. The record is from RefSeq and is a predicted model, not a curated record.
UACCGUUUCUCAUAAAUACAGUUGAAUACUGUAAAUAAACAUUAAUAUGACAAACAAAAUAAUAACAGCAAGCUCCUGUUCAGUCUUACGGGAUAAUACAGUAUUUUUUGGUUUGGUCAGGCAUGUCAGACAUGUGACGAGCUCAUCUGCAACCAUGAGUAAAACUGAUUUAACUACACUGUUUUUCUGCAUUUUAUUAUACGAGAAGGAAGCAGAAUUAAAGACUGUCUAUCCAUUUUCACUCCGAUUGUGACCCUACCAGCACUGAGACGGACGACGAAUUCACUUGUUUUUUACUCCUCGCCUGUAUAUCAAGUUGCUGGUGAUGAAGUAACAUUUGGAGGUUGGAUGAUCAGCAGUGAAAACAUCAUCAUCUGUGAAGGCAAGAUGAAGCUGCGAGGACACUGGAGUUUGUUCAAAGAUGCUUAAUUGGUGUGAACCCUAAGAGGUGAACAAAAGCCAGGCAGGUGAAGGUGUCCGAGAAGACAGGAAAGCUUGUCCAGAAAAACGCAGCAACUGUUAAUCCCCAUGUGACCACCCUCAUCAAAAACUUCAUGGACUUUGAGUGGCUUUCACAUUGUAUUCUGCAGUGUUGUGAUAUUUAUGUGACAUCACAGCAUUAUGUUUUAUUCAGCCCAGUCUCAUUAGUGAGGCAGAAACUGACAUUUAAGAAUGCACUGAAUUUUGUUAUAUUUAAUAAAAACAGUGUUUUAUCAUCAUCCUUUGUUUGAGAAUUUUUUUGCAAGCAAUUUUAAGUGUUUAUUUUAAAAUUACAUUUUAACAAUGCUAGAAAAAUCACAUUCUACAGUAUAAAUAACAGCAGGAACCCUAAAAUAACAGUAUAAUGCAUCCAAACAUCUGACAGUAUUAUACUGUGCAGCUCCCUUUUUUUACAGUACUGUCUCGUAAUAUUUGUACAGUAAAAAACUGUUGUUGUAAAUUACAGUAGGUAAUCUGUAAAAUUACAACUAUAUGCUGGCAAAUCUAGCUGCCAGUAUAUUACUGUAAUUUAACAGUGAAA